Nephila pilipes (giant wood spider) is the source of this 781-nucleotide non-coding RNA. The record is from the annotation of a GenBank genome assembly. Lineage: Eukaryota; Metazoa; Arthropoda; Arachnida; Araneae; Nephilidae.
UCUGAGCAGGAUCACCUGGCUCACGGGUCGAUAGCAACGCAGCUGCAGCUGCGUGAUAAUUGCGGAAUUGCAGGACACAUUGAGCACCGAGCGCUGAACGCGCAUGGCGGCCUCUCUUGUCUUCCUGACUGGAGGUCUCGCCUUUUGAGGGUCUUAUCUUACCUAUGCCUUGUUAUUUGGGCCCAUUGGCCAAGUCGUCUACCUUACCGGCUCAAGGUGAAAGGAAUUCUUCCGGAGCCGUCUGACCUGUCUGCGCGUCUGGUGUCCGGGGAGCUCUCUUUCCCAUGCAGGGCCACUCCGUCUGUCCGAUCGCUCCCUUGAGACGUCCUUAAGAAUCGGGAGGAGGCACCUUAAGAACUUUGAAAAUUUUUUUGCAACGACUGAGACAGAUCAGACUACCCUGCCGAAUUUAAGCUAUAUUAUCAAGGAAGGAAAGAAAACAAUCAGAUUCCACUAGCAGCAUGAGAACAGAGAUCACCCCAGCGCCGAAUGCCUGCCUGUGCAGGGAAAUGUAUGUCAGCGAGUCGGCUAUGGGCCCAGUGUGAGCGGGAAGUCCCCACGAUCGGGGCAGCCUUCCCAGGAGGGUGUGAGGCCCGUUUUCGCUCAUCGUGGUUCCUCUUCACUCACCUAUGCACACAGGGUUGCUUGGAAGUGCAGCCCAAGACAGCCAGGCAAACACCCAAAGCCAACAAGACCUUAGACCAAUAGCAAACAAAUACCGUGAGGGAAAAGUUGAAAGAACUUCAGAGAGAUUUUAAUAAACGUGAAACUGCUCAGAGAU